GAGGGAUUCGAACCCUCGGUAAWCAAAAGCUU
This 32-nucleotide transfer RNA is filed under the name Pseudohygrohypnum eugyrium. RNAcentral describes it as "partial tRNA-Ser". Lineage: Eukaryota; Viridiplantae; Streptophyta; Bryopsida; Hypnales; Pylaisiaceae. The record is from RNAcentral.